This 442-nucleotide ribosomal RNA is filed under the name Phyllofulvius sp. UNSW ENT 00027640. RNAcentral describes it as "partial 16S ribosomal RNA". The record is from RNAcentral. Lineage: Eukaryota; Metazoa; Arthropoda; Insecta; Hemiptera; Miridae.
GCCUGCCCAAUGAUUUUUAAUGGCUGCAGUAUUUUGACUGUACAAAGGUAGCAUAAUCAUUUGUUUUUUAAUUGGAAACUGGAAUGAAUGGUUGGAUAAAAGAUAUUCUUUCUUUAUUUUAUAAAUUUAAAUUAAUUUUUAAGUCAAAAAGCUUAAAUGUUUUUAUAAGACGAUAAGACCCUAUAGAACUUUACUUUAUUUUAUUAUAUUUAUUUAUAAGUAGUAUAUAUCAUUAAAAAUAGUGAAUUUAAAGUUGGAUUGGGGUGAUUAAAAAAAUAUAUUAACUUUUUUUUAUUUUUUCAUUUAUAUAUGUAUAUUUGAUCUAAAAGUUUUUGAUUAUAAGAUUAAGUUACCUUAGGGAUAACAGCGUUAUUAUUCUGGAGAGUUCAUAUUGAUAGAUUAGUUUGCGACCUCGAUGUUGGAUUAAAAUAAGUAUUGGGUG